GCGGGCGUAGCUCAGUUGGUAGAGCGACAGCCUUCCAAGCUGUAGGUCGCGGGUUCGAGCCUCGUCGCCCGCUCGA
Molecule: transfer RNA, 76 nt
Filed under: Cytophagales bacterium
Lineage: Bacteria; Pseudomonadati; Bacteroidota; Cytophagia; Cytophagales
Description: tRNA-Gly
Rfam family: tRNA
About the family: Transfer RNA (tRNA) molecules are approximately 80 nucleotides in length.
Source: RNAcentral